CAGAAAACUGCCGAAGACAGUAGGUGCCGUAAGGCAUAAGGAUGAAAACGCCUACCGAGGAAAGUACAUUUUUCUAUAGAGAGAUUUGUAUGCCCUGUUGUCUGUGCAGCAGGGCUUUCUUUAUG
RNAcentral lists this small RNA (125 nucleotides) under uncultured Blautia sp. Its description in RNAcentral is "Ribosomal protein L10 leader". It matches the Rfam family "Ribosomal protein L10 leader", at positions 10 to 133 of the family's 138-position model. Rfam says of the family: This family is a putative r-protein leader autoregulatory structure found in B. subtilis and other low-GC Gram-positive bacteria. The record is from RNAcentral. Lineage: Bacteria; Bacillati; Bacillota; Clostridia; Lachnospirales; Lachnospiraceae.